GCCUUGGUGGCGGAAUUGGUAGACGCACCAGACUUAGGAUCUGGCGCUUUUAGCGUGGAGGUUCGAGUCCUCUCCAAGGCA
RNAcentral lists this transfer RNA (81 nucleotides) under Pycnococcus provasolii. RNAcentral's name for it is "tRNA-Leu". It matches the Rfam family "tRNA". Rfam says of the family: Transfer RNA (tRNA) molecules are approximately 80 nucleotides in length. Their secondary structure includes four short double-helical elements and three loops (D, anti-codon, and T loops). RNAcentral also lists the same sequence under 1 other name. Lineage: Eukaryota; Viridiplantae; Chlorophyta; Pseudoscourfieldiophyceae; Pseudoscourfieldiales; Pycnococcaceae. The record is from RNAcentral.